CGAAGCCCUGUAUUUAUUAGAUUAAAGCCAACCACCUCCGGGUGUUCGUGGUGAAUCAUAGUAACUUAUCGGAUCGCCGGCUCAACGCCAGCGACGUGUCAUUCAAAUUUCUGCCCUAUCAGCUUUAGAUGGUAGGAUAUGGGCCUACCAUGGCGGUGACGGGUAACGGAGAAUUAGGGUUCGAUUCCGGAGAGGGAGCCUGAGAAACGGCUACCACUUCUAAGGAAGGCAGCAGGCGCGCAAAUUACCCAAUCCUGACUCAGGGAGGUAGUG
This 273-nucleotide ribosomal RNA is filed under the name uncultured eukaryote. RNAcentral's name for it is "partial small subunit ribosomal RNA". It matches the Rfam family "Eukaryotic small subunit ribosomal RNA", at positions 194 to 469 of the family's 1831-position model. The record is from RNAcentral.